UUGGCUCUGGCAUCGAUGAAGAACGCAGCGAAAUGCGAUAAGUAAUGUGAAUUGCAGAAUUCAGUGAAUCAUCGAAUCUUUGAACGCACAUUGCGCCCGCCGGCACUCCGGCGGGCAUGCCUGUCCGAGCGUCAUUUCAACCCUCAGGACCCACUUUCGGGGGGGACCUGGUGCUGGGGAUCAGCGGCCUCCGGGCCCCUGUCCCCCAAAUUGAGUGGCGGUCGCGCCGCAGCCUCCCCUGCGUAGUAGCACACCUCGCACCGGAGAGCGGCUCGGCCACGCCGUGAAACCCCCAAUUUUUUAAGGUUGACCUCGGAUCAGGUAGGAAUACCCGCUGAACUUAAGCAUAUCAAUAAGCGGAGGAACGC
This 368-nucleotide ribosomal RNA is filed under the name uncultured organism. RNAcentral's name for it is "eukaryotic LSU rRNA". The stretch from base 1 to 134 matches the Rfam family "5.8S ribosomal RNA", at positions 21 to 154 of the family's 154-position model. The record is from RNAcentral.